Molecule: transfer RNA, 74 nt
Filed under: Actinobacteria bacterium IMCC26207
Lineage: Bacteria; Bacillati; Actinomycetota; Actinomycetes
Also listed under: 2 other names
Rfam family: tRNA
About the family: Transfer RNA (tRNA) molecules are approximately 80 nucleotides in length. Their secondary structure includes four short double-helical elements and three loops (D, anti-codon, and T loops).
Source: Rfam by way of RNAcentral
CGCGGGGUGGAGCAGUUCGGUAGCUCGUCGGGCUCAUAACCCGAAGGUCGUGGGUUCAAAUCCCACCCCCGCCA